Molecule: ribosomal RNA, 423 nt
Filed under: uncultured bacterium
Lineage: Bacteria
Description: partial 16S ribosomal RNA
Rfam family: Bacterial small subunit ribosomal RNA
Source: RNAcentral
AAGUUUGGACAAUUGAGGACACUCUGAGCCACCCGUCUGGCGUGUACGAUGAAGGCCUUCGGGUUGUAUAGUUCUUUUGGCAGUGACGAAAAGGUACCUCCUAAUACCUGGAGCUGCUUACGGGAACUGCAGAAUAAACAGCGUCGAACGACGUCCCAGCAGCCGCGGUAAUACGCAGGGUGCAAGCGUUAAUCGGAAUUACUGGGCGUAAAGCGUGCGCAGGCGGUUCGGCAAGAAGGAUGUGAAAUCCAAGAGCUUAACCUUGGAACGGCAUUCUUAGCUGCCGGGCUAGAGUAUGUCAGAGGGGGGUAGAAUUCCGCGUGUAGCAGUGAGAUGCGUAGAGAUGCGGAGGAAUACCGAUGGCGAAGGCAGCACCCUGAGAUAAUACUGACGCUCAUGCAGGAAAGCGUGGGGAGCAACCAG